Molecule: ribosomal RNA, 450 nt
Filed under: Pseudomonas sp. E142
Lineage: Bacteria; Pseudomonadati; Pseudomonadota; Gammaproteobacteria; Pseudomonadales; Pseudomonadaceae
Description: bacterial SSU rRNA
Rfam family: Bacterial small subunit ribosomal RNA
Source: RNAcentral
GGUCAGAUUGAACGCUGGCGGCAGGCCUAACACAUGCAAGUCGAGCGGUAGAGAGAAGCUUGCUUCUCUUGAGAGCGGCGGACGGGUGAGUAAUGCCUAGGAAUCUGCCUGGUAGUGGGGGAUAACGUUCGGAAACGGACGCUAAUACCGCAUACGUCCUACGGGAGAAAGCAGGGGACCUUCGGGCCUUGCGCUAUCAGAUGAGCCUAGGUCGGAUUAGCUAGUUGGUGGGGUAAUGGCUCACCAAGGCGACGAUCCGUAACUGGUCUGAGAGGAUGAUCAGUCACACUGGAACUGAGACACGGUCCAGACUCCUACGGGAGGCAGCAGUGGGGAAUAUUGGACAAUGGGCGAAAGCCUGAUCCAGCCAUGCCGCGUGUGUGAAGAAGGUCUUCGGAUUGUAAAGCACUUUAAGUUGGGAGGAAGGGUUGUAGAUUAAUACUCUGCAAU